GUGGGGAAUCUUGCGCAAUGGGCGAAAGCCUGACGCAGCCAUGCCGCGUGAAUGAUGAAGGUCUUAGGAUUGUAAAAUUCUUUCACCGGGGACGAUAAUGACGGUACCCGGAGAAGAAGCCCCGGCUAACUUCGUGCCAGCAGCCGCGGUAAUACGAAGGGGGCUAGCGUUGCUCGGAAUUACUGGGCGUAAAGGGCGCGUAGGCGGACAGUUUAGUCAGAGGUGAAAGCCCAGGGCUCAACCUUGGAAUUGCCUUUGAUACUGGCUGUCUUGAGUACGGGAGAGAUGAGUGGAACUCCGAGUGUAGAGGUGAAAUUCGUAGAUAUUCGGAAGAACACCAGUGGCGAAGGCGACUCACUGGCCCGUUACUGACGCUGAGGCGCGAAAGCGUGGGGAGCAAACAGGAUUAGAAACCGGGUAGUCC
This 424-nucleotide ribosomal RNA is filed under the name uncultured bacterium. RNAcentral describes it as "partial 16S ribosomal RNA". It matches the Rfam family "Bacterial small subunit ribosomal RNA", at positions 354 to 796 of the family's 1533-position model. The record is from RNAcentral.